This is a long non-coding RNA of Dasypus novemcinctus (nine-banded armadillo), 523 nucleotides long. The record is from Ensembl. Lineage: Eukaryota; Metazoa; Chordata; Mammalia; Cingulata; Dasypodidae.
GAAGAGGGUUCAGCUAACUAUACAUUUGUUCCAGGCUCCAGCCCCCCUCCGAUUCCACAGAAAGUGAAGACAGCUUCCAACUGCCCAUCUCAGGAGGGGAAACUGUCGGUUUCAAAUGUCUGGAAGGCUUGGUCCUGCGUCUGUCUGGGGCGCUCGGCUCAGCGCUGGCCGCCUGGUGGCAGCACCUUCCACUGCCACUCAGCACCCAGGCUGCUCCUGGGGAGCACGGGGACCUCGCCUGUCCCCUGGCAACACCGCAUGGGCCAGCAACCUCAGGAGCGGCACCGAGAAUUAAGGGCAGGGGAGACAAGCGUAGAUAACCACCUGCCGAAAUCAGGUCAAGCCCAUCAGGCGUUCCUGGGCAAUAACGCCAAGUUCAAAUCCCCAUACCUAGAGAAGGCGAGCGGCCGCGGCUUCUCCUCUCAAACCUGUCUGUCUUCUCAGAACCUUGCAAGAACGCUGACCACACUUUUCUGCAGCCAAUGAGCAAUCAGAAGAGCUAUGGGAAGACCCCUUCCUCAAC